Molecule: ribosomal RNA, 309 nt
Filed under: uncultured Polaribacter sp.
Lineage: Bacteria; Pseudomonadati; Bacteroidota; Flavobacteriia; Flavobacteriales; Flavobacteriaceae
Description: bacterial SSU rRNA
Rfam family: Bacterial small subunit ribosomal RNA
Source: RNAcentral
GAUGAACGCUAGCGGCAGGCUUAACACAUGCAAGUCGAGGGGUAACAUUGUAGCUUGCUACAGAUGACGACCGGCGCACGGGUGCGUAACGCGUAUAGAACCUACCUUUUACUGGAGAAUAGCCUUUAGAAAUGAAGAUUAAUGCUCCAUAGUAUUGAGAGAUCGCAUGAUUUUUCAAUUAAAGAUUUAUUGGUAAAAGAUGGCUAUGCGUCCUAUUAGCUAGAUGGAGGGGUAAUGGCUCCCCAUGGCUACGAUAGGUAGGGGUCCUGAGAGGGAGAUCCCCCACACUGGUACUGAGACACGGACCAG